This 638-nucleotide long non-coding RNA is filed under the name Astyanax mexicanus (Mexican tetra). RNAcentral's name for it is "lncRNA (ENSAMXG00005020097.1)". Lineage: Eukaryota; Metazoa; Chordata; Actinopteri; Characiformes; Acestrorhamphidae. The record is from RNAcentral.
GGGCGUGAAGGACUUUGUCAGUUCAAGCCAGAGGAAGACCAGUAGACGUCUGUGAGCUGUCUGUCUCGCUCUCUGUCUCGCUCUCUCUCUCUGAACCCUGAAAAACGGUAGUCUGAUUACGGGAACACCUCCUGACACUCUUUGAAGGAGCUACAGUUUCUCAGACAGGUCCGCUGAUCCAGGAGAAGACUGGCGCUAACAGCUAGUGGAGACCCAGGUAUAGCUGGGGUCCGGCAGGCUCGGGGGCAGCAGAAGCUCUUCACCAUGGAUGUGGAUGAGGAGGAGAACAUGAGUGAGUAUCUGUGCACACCAACAAUACACUCUCACACACUUACAAGGAAGUGCACAAGUAUAUAGAUAGACACACAGCCUAAUAUCCAUUGAAUAUAAUACACACUUAUAAAACAACAACCUAUCCUUGGAUGCAGAACAUCCUGGUCCAAUCCGAUAAAUGAAGCCACACACUUAUGUAGAUCUGCACACUCAUCCUCAUUAAUCACACAUUUAUACACACCUGUAUAUGCAGCCUUUUACUCACUCAUACUCUCCCACAAGACUAUGUUCACACUAGACCUGUUUUCCUCAACUGAGCGACCACAAGACGGUCAAAACUUGUCCAAUUUGAAAAGCUCCAAAUG